GAUAUCUGGUUUAAUGCACCUGGCCCGCGGCCACUAGGCUCUAGAAAACGAUUCUGCCAUUCACUUGGUUGGGAUCGCGAUCUAGAUCUUUUACUUUGAAAAAAUUAGAGUGUUUAAAGCAGGCUUUUGCUAUGAAUACAUUAAUAAUAAUCUAGGACUUCGGUUCUAUUUUGUUGGUUUCGAAAACCGAAGUAAUAGUAUUGGCCGGCGAGAGGUGAAAUUCUUGGAUUCGGUCAAGACUAACUUAUGCGAAAGCAUU
RNAcentral lists this ribosomal RNA (259 nucleotides) under uncultured Cercozoa. RNAcentral's name for it is "partial 18S ribosomal RNA". The stretch from base 75 to 259 matches the Rfam family "Eukaryotic small subunit ribosomal RNA", at positions 736 to 955 of the family's 1831-position model. The record is from RNAcentral. Lineage: Eukaryota; Cercozoa.